This is a long non-coding RNA of Globicephala melas (long-finned pilot whale), 3911 nucleotides long. RefSeq lists it as uncharacterized. Lineage: Eukaryota; Metazoa; Chordata; Mammalia; Artiodactyla; Delphinidae. The record is from RefSeq and is a predicted model, not a curated record.
UAUACUCUCAUGUUAUCAAAAAUAUAAAGGAAUAAAAUUGUAUCUUCAUCGAAAACAAUCAGUAUUAAAAUACACACUUUUUCAGUACAAAAGAUAUAGCAAUUAAUUAAGCUUGUACUGAAAUUAAGUGUGAUUCUUGACUAUUAGUAAGCAUAAUAAUAACCCUGGAUCUUUUCUCCCCUAAUCUGAAAAUUACUCAAAAACUAGCUGCUUUACUCAUUUUCAAAUUAUAGGACUAGACAAUUUCCAUAGUAUCAUUUACUGAUAAAAUUAUAUCUUUAAGAAGUAUUAAUGAUUAUGUUAACACAAGGUAGAUAGCCUUAUUAUAUGAAUUUAUGCAUUCAUCUUUUAUGUAUUUUAAAUCAACAUUUAUUAAAAAUUUUUAAAUGUAAUACAUGGUAAAAAAUUCAAAUGGUACAAACAGAUAUUAAAUGAAAAAUAAGUCUCUCUAUUCUAUCUCUGAUGCGUGGUAACUCAAUUGCCUUUUCUAUCAGUUACUGUUCUUACUGAUUUCUUCUUUUGGAUAAAUUCUUUGUAGUGGAAUUCUUAGGUCAACAGGUAUAUUCAUUUUAAUUUUCAUAGAAAUUGCCAUGAUAUCUUCUCCAGUGGUUCCCAGACAUGUGUGAGAAAGUCUACCUCCCCACAUCUAGUCAGACAGUAUCUCUCCUUUGAUCAACUUUUUGAUUUUGGUCAUUCCGACAGGUGAAAAGUUAAAUGUCACUCCAGUUUUAAUUUGCAGUAAAGGUGAGUAUCUUUUUGCAUACUUAAAAAGUCACUUGUAUUUCUUUUUUUUCCUGUGAAGUAAGAUUUUUAUAUAAUUUCUACAUUCACUUAUAAUAUUCUCAGAAAUUAAACAGACAUAAAACAGGCCAAAAGAAGAAUCUGUAGCAAUUUGAGAAGUGAUUCACUAUUUUUUAUAAUAUAGAAUAAUCAUUUUUGAUCUCCUUCCUCUUGGGGUUGGGUACUGAUAACAUAUAGGUGAAAAGAUAGAGCCACAAUCCCAAGAGGAUCACAUGUAAGUUAGAGAGGAGAUGUUCACAUGAAUGAAGAAUUCCAGUACAAGAGAUGGAUGCUAUAAACUGAAGAACAAAGGGCAUGGAGGUGUAGAAGAAGGAACAAGUGAGUUGAGAGAGAAAAACUCAGAGACAUGAAUUGAGUCUUCCAUUCUCAUAUUAGUUUGCUCAGGCUGCCAUAACAAAAUGCUAUAAAUUGGGUAACUUAAAAAACAGAAAUCUAUUUUCUCAGUCCUAGGGGAUUGAAAUCCAAGAUCAAAGUAUUGGCAGGUUUGGUUUCUCCUGUGGUCUCUCCCCUUGGCUUGUGGAUGGCUACCUUCUCACUGAGUCCUCACAAGCCUUUGGACUAAACUGAAAACAAAUAUUACGUACCCUGAAUCGGUGCUGAAACCACAAAGGAGAGCAUCUUUGGAUCCCUCCAAGUAAUAAAAAUAUUCUGUUCAGAAAGAAAUUGAACAAUAUAACAUUAUGGAGUGUAAGCUUUAAGAGUGACACAGCAGUAAGAAGAGGUAUAUAUUUUGAUGGAAACGAAAGUUGAGAAGAAUUUCGAAGAAUGUAGUGAAAAAUAAGGGACACUGCAUGUGCACAUUCAAAAGCAGGAUAGAGUGACUCAUGAAAGAAUGAAUCAUGACUCAGCAUUCCACUACUAGGGUAAACUGGAGACAAUCUGAAAUUUAUUUUAUUAAUAUCUUCCUUUCAAGGGACCAAGGUGUCACACUGCAAACUCCCACAGGGUAAGGAAUGUCUCUUCUACUUUCUUUGCUUAGAUGAAUACAGAAAGCUUUAUUAGGUGACACCUAUGGUUGGCUUGCUGAAUGUAUGAUUUCCAAUGGUAUCAAUUUUCAUUGAAUCUCACACCAAUUCUUCCAUAACUAGGUAUGGAUACUGGCAUCAUGUUAAACAAUAUCAAGAACCCAUAUUAUAAAAUUAAUGAGUCUUAUUCCCUACUAUUUUCUUAAAUACUACUAUUUUAAAAGCUCUUUUCACUUAGGUAACAGUAAAAAGGCAGCUAAGGACUUCCCUGGUGGUGCAGUGGUUAAGAAUCUGCCUGCCGAUGCAAGGGACACGGGUUCGAUCCCUGUUUCAGGAAGAUCCCACAUGUCGCAGAGCAGCUAAGCCCUGGAGCCGCAACUACUGAGCCUGCACUCUAGAGCCCACGCGCCACAACUACUGAGCCCACGUGCCACAACUACUGAAGCCCGCACGCCUACAGCCCAUGCUCCACAACAAGAGAAGCCACCGCAAUGAGAAGCCCACGUGCCGCAACGAAGAGUAGCCCCUCUCGCUGCAACUAGAGAGAGCCCGCACACAGCAACAAAGACCCAAUGCAGCCAAAAAAAAAAAAGGCAGCUAAGUGUCAUUUUCCCCUAUUGCUGCCAAAAAAUGUAUGUCAGAAUGAAGGUAUACUCUGUUUUGGUUCCCAACCUGGGUGUAUAAAAGUAUCAUCUGCAUAACUUAAAAACUACAGCUGCCAGGGCUUAUCCAAGUAAUGCUGAAAUAAAAUUUUUGAGGGAGGGUUUAAGUUUAUCUACUUUAAAAAAGCAUAAAAUAUUGAUGUGAUUCCCCUUUUAAGAACCAUUUUUAAAGCAACAAAUGCACUAAAUCAAAAACAGCAGAUGAAUACAUAUAAAUUAAUGACCAGGUUUUAUUAUUCAAUAAGAUAAAUCAAAUGCAAUUAAAAGCACACAAAAGUUUUGGAUUUUGUUUUAUUUGAAGAGUAUGCAGUAGGAAUGUAAAAUAUGACAGUUUAAAGUCUCCAUUUUAAAAUUGAAAAGAUAAACAUAAAUUCCAUUCAAUAAAAACAACACAUUUUUUGAACUCUGAAUCUAUAUUAUGCUCAGUUAAAGAAAGAAGAUUUGGAAUGAGGGGAAAAAAGGAGGAAAUGAAAAAGGUUGAACGAGAGAAGGAAGAUGAUAAACAAACAGGAAAGGAGAGUGUAAUAGGGUAAAAGGGAGAGAGACUAACAAAAAUACCCUUGGUCCCUUAGCUCCCUUCCGGCUACAAAGUCCAAGACAACAAAAAAACAAAGCAAGUUCUUCACCAUAUUAAUUUUUAUUUUUAAUUCUCAACAUUUUAAGCAUCAUUCAUGUCCUAUUACUUCAUCUCUAUUAAGACAGGAACCCCAAAUAUCAAAUUAUUAUGUUGUACACCUGAAAUUAAUAUAAUGUUAUAUGUCAAUUAUUCCUCAAUUUAAAAAAAGCUGAUCUUUCAACUUUUAGGAAUAAAUGACAGCGCUGCAAAAAAAGAAGACAAAGAUAUUAAAAGAAACAUGUUUAUCAGCUUAAGAACUAAAGAAAACACAAACUGAGAGAAUUCAUCACCAUAUGAAAAUAUACAUUAAACAUUAAAGGAAGUUCCUAGGCAGCAGGAAAAGAUCCUAAGGGAAGAAGAGUGGAAAUACAGAGAGAAAUGAAGAACAUCGGAAUGGGUAUGUGUCUGUGUAUAUAAAAAGAAAAACUGACUCUACAAAAAUGAAUGACUAUACAAAGCAAUAAUAAUUCUAUAUCAUGGAUUUUAAGACGAUGUAGAAUAAAAUGCAUGAAUGAAUUCCAGUUUAUAUAUUUUCUUGAAUCCAUCAUUAUACAAACUAGAUUUCCUUUAAUCUUAUUUAAUUUUUACUUAUUUCAGCCUGUAACAUUUGAGUUUUAUUAUUAAGGUAAUUGUUCUCAGGUUUCAAAAAAAGAAGAUGGAAUUUUCUUCUCUGUUAUGUAGAAAACACUGUCCAUGAAGACCUUAGUGCAUACUGUUGUAUAAAUAUUACUAUUUUCAAAGUAGCCUUAUUUUGAAAGAGCCUUCAAUAACUGAAAAUUAGAAAAUGAAUCUUAAAUGAGCAGCCAUCAGUUAAAGUAUUUUCAACAUGAUUAUUUGUAUUAAAAUUUAUUUUUAAAUGCCAUCACA